RNAcentral lists this ribosomal RNA (1235 nucleotides) under uncultured bacterium. Its description in RNAcentral is "partial 16S ribosomal RNA". It matches the Rfam family "Bacterial small subunit ribosomal RNA", at positions 97 to 1338 of the family's 1533-position model. The record is from RNAcentral.
GGCGGACGGGUGAGUAACGCGUGGGUAACCUGCCUCAUACAGGGGGAUAACAGUUAGAAAUGACUGCUAAUACCGCAUAAGCACACGUGAUCGCAUGAUCGAGUGUGAAAAACUCCGGUGGUAUGAGAUGGACCCGCGUCUGAUUAGCUGGUUGGUGGGGUAACGGCCCACCAAGGCGACGAUCAGUAGCCGGCCUGAGAGGGUGAACGGCCACAUUGGGACUGAGACACGGCCCAAACUCCUACGGGAGGCAGCAGUGGGGAAUAUUGCACAAUGGGGGAAACCCUGAUGCAGCGACGCCGCGUGAAGGAUGAAGUAUUUCGGUAUGUAAACUUCUUUUAUAAAGGAAUAAAGUCGGGUAUGGAUACCCGUUUGCAUGUACUUUAUGAAUAAGGAUCGGCUAACUCCGUGCCAGCAGCCGCGGUAAUACGGAGGAUCCGAGCGUUAUCCGGAUUUAUUGGGUUUAAAGGGAGCGUAGAUGGAUGUUUAAGUCAGUUGUGAAAGUUUGCGGCUCAACCGUAAAAUUGCAGUUGAUACUGGAUAUCUUGAGUGCAGUUGAGGCAGGCGGAAUUCGUGGUGUAGCGGUGAAAUGCUUAGAUAUCACGAAGAACUCCGAUUGCGAAGGCAGCCUGCUAAGCUGCAACUGACAUUGAGGCUCGAAAGUGUGGGUAUCAAACAGGAUUAGAUACCCUGGUAGUCCACACGGUAAACGAUGAAUACUCGCUGUUUGCGAUAUACUGCAAGCGGCCAAGCGAAAGCGUUAAGUAUUCCACCUGGGGAGUACGCCGGCAACGGUGAAACUCAAAGGAAUUGACGGGGGCCCGCACAAGCGGAGGAACAUGUGGUUUAAUUCGAUGAUACGCGAGGAACCUUACCCGGGCUUAAAUUGCAGAUGAAUUACGGUGAAAGCCGUAAGCCGCAAGGCAUCUGUGAAGGUGCUGCAUGGUUGUCGUCAGCUCGUGCCGUGAGGUGUCGGCUUAAGUGCCAUAACGAGCGCAACCCUUGUUGUCAGUUACUAACAGGUUCCGCUGAGGACUCUGACAAGACUGCCAUCGUAAGAUGUGAGGAAGGUGGGGAUGACGUCAAAUCAGCACGGCCCUUACGUCCGGGGCUACACACGUGUUACAAUGGGGGGUACAGAGGGCCGCUACCACGCGAGUGGAUGCCAAUCCCCAAAACCUCUCUCGGUUCGGACUGGAGUCUGCAACCCGACUCCACGAAGCUGGAUUCGCUAG